Molecule: ribosomal RNA, 406 nt
Filed under: uncultured bacterium
Lineage: Bacteria
Description: partial 16S ribosomal RNA
Rfam family: Bacterial small subunit ribosomal RNA
Source: RNAcentral
AUUGAACGCUGGCGGCAGGCCUAACACAUGCAAGUCGAACGAGUGGCGGACGGGUGUGUAAUGUCUGGGAAACUGCCCGAUGGAGGGGGAGAACUACUGGAAACGGUAGCUCAUAUCGCGUACGAUCGGAUGUGCCCAGAUGGGGUGAGCUUGUAGGUGUGGUAACGGCCCCCCUAGGCGACGAUCCCGAGCUGGUCUGAGAGGAUGACCAGCCACAUGGGAACUGAGACACGGUCCAGACGCCUACGGGAGGCAGCAGUGGGGAAUAUUGCACAAUAGGCGCAAGCCUGAUGCAGCCGUGCCGCGUGUAUGAAGAAGGCCUUGGGGUUGUAAAGUACUUUCAGCGGGGAGGCGUUACCCGCAGAAGAAGCACCGGCUAACUCCGUGCCAGCAGCCGCGGUAAUUC